UUACGGUUAUAUCAUUUUGAAACACUGGUCCUUAUACGAUCACCGGAAUUAAGCAACGUCGAAACUGUACAGUACUUAGAGGGGUGACCGCUUGGGAACACGAUGUGCUGUAAG
Non-coding RNA from Acanthosepion pharaonis, 114 nucleotides. Lineage: Eukaryota; Metazoa; Mollusca; Cephalopoda; Sepiida; Sepiidae. The record is from the annotation of a GenBank genome assembly.